This 460-nucleotide ribosomal RNA is filed under the name uncultured bacterium. RNAcentral describes it as "partial 16S ribosomal RNA". It matches the Rfam family "Bacterial small subunit ribosomal RNA", at positions 338 to 795 of the family's 1533-position model. The record is from RNAcentral.
CCUACGGGAGGCAGCAGUGAGGAAUAUUGGUCAAUGGACGAGAGUCUGAACCAGCCAAGUAGCGUGAAGGAUGACUGCCCUAUGGGUUGUAAACUUCUUUUAUAUGGGAAUAAACUGUUCCACGUGUGGGAUUUUGUAUGUACCAUAUGAAUAAGGAUCGGCUAACUCCGUGCCAGCAGCCGCGGUAAUACGGAGGAUCCGAGCGUUAUCCGGAUUUAUUGGGUUUAAAGGGAGCGUAGGUGGAUUGUUAAGUCAGUUGUGAAAGUUUGCGGCUCAACCGUAAAAUUGCAGUUGAAACUGGCAGUCUGGAGUACAGUAGAGGUGGGCGGAAUUCGUGGUGUAGCGGUGAAAUGCUUAGAUAUCACGAAGAACUCCGAUUGCGAAGGCAGCUCACUGGACUGCAACUGACACUGAGGCUCGAAAGUGUGGGUAUCAAACAGGAUUAGAUACCCGAGUAGUC